UCAGAAUUCGGUUCCCGGGGAACCGAGUUCUGAACUUCAAUUUUUUUUUUAGCUCAGAAUUCGGUUCCUCGGGAACCGAAUUCUGA
RNAcentral lists this microRNA precursor (86 nucleotides) under Cajanus cajan (pigeon pea). Its description in RNAcentral is "miRNA gene-KK1_050511". Lineage: Eukaryota; Viridiplantae; Streptophyta; Magnoliopsida; Fabales; Fabaceae. The record is from RNAcentral.